This 3772-nucleotide long non-coding RNA is filed under the name Anthonomus grandis grandis. RNAcentral's name for it is "uncharacterized LOC126735231". Lineage: Eukaryota; Metazoa; Arthropoda; Insecta; Coleoptera; Curculionidae. The record is from RNAcentral.
AAGCAAAUAGUUAGCGAAAAUUUCUAGAAAUAAUGAAUAUUUUAUUUACGCCAAACUUUGGUAUUUUAAAUGAAUACUUUUAGUGUGGUACCUACAUCAUUUUAAAUUCUUACAUUUUUUAUAAUAGAUCAUCAAAAAGAAAUACAAACAAUUUAGAAGUUAAAAUGUGUGGUAACAAACAGCACAUUUAGUUCAAGCAAAUUAUUUUUUUUUUAAGUAAAGAAUGUGUACCGUUAUUUGCGAAGAGUGUCUUCAAAUUUUUUGCAAAAAUCUUUGCAGUCUUAUAACUUUGUAUGUGUAUUUAUUUCACUUAUAUUUUUUGCGAAACCUACCUAAUAGGUACAAAAAAGACUGCAAUACCUUACAUUUUUAAGGCGUUUAAAAAGCAGGCGGUUUAUUAUUGUUAAAACUGUCAGUUUGACGCGUGCAAUUUUUCAAUUUUAGUUAAAACAGUGAGUUAAUAAAAUGGUGUAUACGCUAGCCGAAAGAAUAGAAAUAAUUUUUCUUUAUGGAGCUCAAGAUCGGUGUGCUCGCAGAACCGCGAGAGCAUUUAAUGAAAGGUAUCAAGAUAAAAACGUGAGCCAUAAAUACGUAUUAGAAUUGAUACGAAAAUUUGAAUAGACGGGAUCGAUUUGCAAUAAGAAAAAAUAUGAAAAUAGAGUUGUCGAUGAAGCAUGCCAAGUUGAAGUACUAGGACAAUUUGCUAUGGAUCCAACUUUGUCUAUACCAAAGGCCGCAAAACUAACAAAUAUUUCCACUGGUUCCGUACAUAAAGUUUAAAAAAAAAUAAGUCCUUUCCUUAUAAAAUUCACAUUCUUCAUGAACUCGGAGAAGAUGAUUUUGAUAGGAGAAUUCAAUUUUGUGAAGUGAUGUGCCAACGAAUUGACGACGAUCCCCGUUUGUUGAAGAACAUUUGCUUCAGUGACGAAUCGACCUUUUUUUUAAAUGGCCUGGUGAACAGACAUAACUGUAGAUAUUGGGAUAAUGAAAAUCCGCAUGUUUUUCGGGAAGGCCAUACCCAAUAUCCCCAAAAAAUUAAUGUUUGGGCAGGAAUUUAUGGAAAUGAAAUAAUUGGGCCAUUUUUUUUGGAAGAAAAUUUGACUGGCGAAAUUUAUUUAAACCUUUUAGAAAAUGCAAUAUACCCUUCCAUCAUCCAAUCUAUGGAAAAUCAAGUAGAUCAACAUGGUGCUAUAUUAUUGAAUGAAUUUUUUUUUUUUUUUUUUGGGUCGGUGGAGAAAUUCUUUAUGAACACUGGUUACGCGUUUUAUUAAAUAUACUAGAUAUUUAAACUAUAAUCAAGGGUUAUAUUCUAUGGAUGUUUCAUAAACAUCUAUUAUAUUUUAUGUAUCUGUUACAUGUAUCUUAUAAAAUAUACAAAUACUUUUUUAAUAUUUCAGAAUAUGAAAAUUUCCCUAUAUAGGUAAAUAUUUUUUCCAUCCAUGAAACAUGUUCUGGAUAUACCAUAUAUACAUCAUUUCCUAGGUAGCAAAAUGACGUCUUGGCGACGUCGUUUUUCGUACAUUUUGGUCUAAAUGAAGAGUGAUUUUGACGUUUUUACGAUCUUAAAAUGACGUGCAAAUAUCACAUCCAAUGGAAAAUUAAAUUCGUUGGACAGGGAAACCUUAAAGGAGGAAGAAGUAACAUGAGGAAACAUUCGGUACAAAAAUACUGAUAACUUUUAAUCUUAAUAAAAGGAAAUGCGCGUCCAUAAAAUAUGCCAUGUUUUCCUAUAAUUUUUUUAAAAUUUAUAAACAAGGUUAGAUCAAGAUGACAUGCUGAAAAUGCUUUGUUUAAAAGUAUACAGGGUGUUUCAGAACUAUGGGAUCAAACUUCUAAGGGUUGUUCAGUGCAACAGCAGAAUCCAUUUGAGUAUAGGAACCCAUGUCCGGAAAUGUGUCACUACGCCACUACGGCCCUAAGACGCGUUUAAAUUUAGAAAAAUAUUAAUAACUGAAAUAGGAUCUGAUGCAUUUAUUUUUACCUUUUGUAUAUGAUACCAUCACAACAAUUGUUCAAAAUGUCUUCCUCCAACCUCAAUACACCGAUUUAAACGCAGCACAUGCUUUCGGCGGACUACACUAAAAAUUUGAUCCUCGUUUUGAAUGAUUUCAAAUGCUGCUAUUAUUCGUCCAAUUAAGUCUAGCUCUGAUUGCACCUCUUCUUCAAAUUCGACCGUUCUUACGAUUCGAGCAACACCAGUAUCAUGCAUCUUGGUCUUAAACAUGCCUGUCUCAGCGAGUCGCCGGUGAACCGCAAUAAACUUUUUGUAUCCAGGAUGCUGUCGUUCGGGAUAACGUUCAUGCUUAGAACAUUGAAAGGCUAGAAUUAGUAAACAACAACUUUGUUUGAGUCCAACAUGUGCACAGGGGCAAGAGGGGUGUUUUGUUUACAAACAUAUUUGCCGAUUCUCUGUUGUCAAGUCGACGCAAAUUUCCAACGGAGGAAAUUUUUAGCUAUAUUUUAACAACCAUUAUAACGUUAAUUUAACUUAUUUGUGUUGUAUUUUAUAGGAAAAUUUAAAAUAAAAAGUAUAAAUACUACAAUUAACCUAUUUUAAGAAUAAAUAUAAUAUCCUUAAGCAAAAAAAAAACAAAAUUACUAACAUUGUUAUCCCUAAAACUGCUUCUAAAAAAUUUGAAGCGACAACAUCGGAGCUUAAGCGUCUGAGCCAUACGCGUAGUGUCAUCUGUCAAACGGCUUUUUGUUUAUUUUCGGGAUUCGUGUAUUUUCUUUAAUUUUCGGUUUCAAAAGGAAAAAGGCCACAUUUUAGUGUUUUUUUAAAUUGCUAGGAUGGGAAAAACUUGUGUCGUUUGUGUCGCAUCAUGAUAAAAAGGUGAUUCAAGCCGAUCUUUUCACAAAUUGCCUAAUAUAUGCCCAAAGGGAACAAUGGAUUUCAUUAAUGGAAAUCAACAAAAUUAAACAGAACAUAUUUGUUUGUUCAGAUCACAUCCUUAGAAGUGAUUUCUUAUAUAAAAAAGAUAAUAUUAUCAGUAGCCAGACUUAGACCAAACAGAUUAAAAAAAUCAGCUCUACCUCAAAGGAUUUCUGAUGCACUGGUUAAAAACACAGCAGCUGAUAAUUCAGUUAAUUUACCAAGUGAUUUACCCUUCAAAGCUGCAGGAAUAGCUUUCCUGAAGAGUGCAAAAACUUCUUUAGCUUCCAAAAUAGUAUAUAGUACAAACAGUGAAGCUGAUAUAGACAAGUAUGGAUAAUUAAAAUAGAUUAAUAUUCUAGAUACACCAAAUUUUGUAUAAUUAUAGAUCUGAUCAUUCAUCAUCAACAAUAACUGCAUCUGAGAUUAAUAGUUCUACAGUAACCGUGGGGUCUUGGUCAACAAUUACUAUUUCUCAUCCAAGCCGUUUUUGUUUAACUGCUACAUAUUCCCUGACUCUGCCAAGGAAAAGGUAAAAAUACACUCAAAAUAGACUACUAGUUUUAUGCCAUGUAUCAUCCUAUUCUAUAUAUCUUAUUUAAAAGUGAUAUAGUAUUUUAUUGUGUUAUAUUUGUUUAAUUAAAUGCAAUUAAUUGGUAAUACUAUAUUUUUAUGUAUAUUAUUCUAGGGUAAAAUCAAAAUGAUAUCCUGAGGACCUAAGCACUGAUGAUUCCACCAUUUCAAAAGCUAAAUCACUUGUUACCAAAUUAUGGAAAAAAAAUAAAGAGCAAAAAAUUAAUAUUCGAAGAUUGCAAUAAACAAAUUUGCCCCAAAGAAAUUGAAUUAGAUGUCUCAAGUCAUUAUUAAAAUACUUAAGAAAUAAUAACGUGAUUUUUGAAA